Molecule: long non-coding RNA, 1673 nt
Organism: Arachis duranensis
Lineage: Eukaryota; Viridiplantae; Streptophyta; Magnoliopsida; Fabales; Fabaceae
Exons: 11
Source: RefSeq, a predicted model, not a curated record
UCCAAAGCCCAUUCAUCCUUGCAAUACUGACCACCACCAUCGCCACUGAAAACCCUCUCACCACACUCACCAUCGCCACUGACCACCACCAUCGCCACUGACCACCCUCUCACUGCAACAUCGCGAAGAAACCCUCUCACCACACUCACCAUCGCCACUGACCACCACCAUCGCCACUGACCACCCUCUCACUGCACCAUCCCGAAGAAACCCGUACUCAUCACCACUCACUACAAGAAAGUCACUCCUGUUCGUCCUCACCAUCGUCAUCUCUGCGCUUCUCACCUUCGCCAACCCUGUCGCGCACAACCCUCACCGUCGCCACCACUCACUCAUCUUCAUCACUCACGACUCACCACGCCGUCAGUCAUCGUCAUUGUUGCUUCUCUUUGCUGCGCGCUCACAUUAGGAAGACUCUGCCUCAACUGAAAGCCUCUCAUCAGUCUCUCACCAUCGUCAAGAAGGUUUUGACAGAGAGUAUUGAUCGUGUCUUAGAGUUUGUUAAAUGAAGUAAGGCAAUCAACCCCACUAUUGCAUUGGAGACAGCUACAGCCUUGCAGUUACCAUCCAAUUUCCAUUGUGUUUUCUCAAGCAAAGGGAGUUGCUGUGUAGGAUUCAGAGGGAAACAAAUAUCUUGAUUUCUUAUCUGCUUAUUCUGCUGUUAAUCAGACAUUGACGUGCUACUAAAUCAUCUUCUUCUUCGUCUUCUUCUCUUCGAGGAUGGCAAUGGAGGUCUUGACACGCGUUUGAGCUUUGAUUCUCUCUGCUUGUAGUUCGAGAUUCAAUCUUCUCUGCUCGCAAUCGAGAUUCAAUCCAAUUUGUUCGCGUUUGAUCUUCGAUUGUCUCUGCUAGCAGUUCGAGCUUCCAUCAUUUCUACUCGCUUGUUCAUCACCGGAUCUAUAAAGUCUUUAGGUUUUGCUUGCCGUUCAUCUAUGAUCUCUUCCAAUUUGCCAGCGUUCUUCUGCUAGGGUUCAUCACCGCUGAUCAUUGUUUUACAGGAAAGUGAGUAGAAGCUGCUUGUGUCUAUCAGCAUAAGGCUUUGCUUUGUUGACUUGUGUGAAAAAGACAAAAAGAGUGAUGGCUGGGACCAAAAUAUUGCCUACUCAAUAAUUGAAAGAAGCUAAGCAUUGAACACGGGUUGCUUAACACGGGCUGCCUACUCAAUAUAUGAAACUUGUUGCUGUGUGUAUUAGUGUUGAGGUUGGUGAUCCUGCACAGCUUCCAGCAGCUGUAAUUUCAGAUGUUGCUAAGAAUCAUGGAUAUGGCACAAGCUUAUUUGAAAGAUUGAUGCAAGCUGGCUAUCCAGUUAAAAUGUUGAAGACCCAAUACCGAAUGCAUCCUGAGAUUGAUUCCUUCACUCAUACUUGAGUAUACGCAGCUGAACACUAAGUGCAAAUUAUUGCGGCAUGACCUCCAGUUAUUGGACUCAGUGGAGGCAAGAGGAUUUUGAGUUCAUCAUACCACACAAUAUCAGAUUGUUCCAACAAAGUCAAGCAUAGAUAUAAAAUAUGCAAAUAGAUUGACAUUAUUUUGAUAAAUAUUAAUUACUAUUUUGUUAUGACAAUUAUUGUUAGACAAGAAUUUUAUUAUUUUGUUGAGAAUUAUUGAUGAACAUGUAUUAGAAAUACUAAUUGAACUUUUUAAUAUCUAUUUUAAUUAGAAUUUUAUUUUUA